GGGUUGUGAGGUUAAGCGACUAAGCGUACACGGUGGAUGCCCUGGCAGUCAGAGGCGAUGAAGGGCGUGCUAAUCUGCGAUAAGCGCCGGUAAGGUGAUAUGAACCGUUAUAACCGGCGAUACCCGAAUGGGGAAACCCAGUGUGAUUCGUCACACUAUCAUUAACUGAAUCCAUAGGUUAAUGAGGCGAACCGGGGGAACUGAAACAUCUAAGUACCCCGAGGAAAAGAAAUCAACCGAGAUUCCCCCAGUAGCGGCGAGCGAACGGGGAGGAGCCCAGAGCCUGAAUCAGCAUGUGUGUUAGUGGAAGCGUCUGGAAAGGCGCGCGAUACAGGGUGACAGCCCCGUACACAAAAGCGCAUGUGCUGUGAGCUCGAUGAGUAGGGCGGGACACGUGGUAUCCUGUCUGAAUAUGGGGGGACCAUCCUCCAAGGCUAAAUACUCCUGACUGACCGAUAGUGAACCAGUACCGUGAGGGAAAGGCGAAAAGAACCCCGGCGAGGGGAGUGAAAAAGAACCUGAAACCGUGUACGUACAAGCAGUGGGAGCNNNNNNNNNNNNNNNNNNNNNNNNNNNNNNNNNNNNNNNNNNNNNNNNNNNNNNNNNNNNNNNNNNNNNNNNNNNNNNGGGCGUUAAGUUGCAGGGUAUAGACCCGAAACCCGGUGAUCUAGCCAUGGGCAGGUUGAAGGUUGGGUAACACUAACUGGAGGACCGAACCGACUAAUGUUGAAAAAUUAGCGGAUGACCUGUGGCUGGGGGUGAAAGGCCAAUCAAACCGGGAGAUAGCUGGUUCUCCCCGAAAGCUAUUUAGGUAGCGCCUCGUGAAUUCAUCUCCGGGGGUAGAGCACUGUUUCGGCUAGGGGGCCAUCCCGGCUUACCAACCCGAUGCAAACUGCGAAUACCGGAGAAUGUUAUCACGGGAGACACACGGCGGGUGCUAACGUCCGUCGUGAAGAGGGAAACAACCCAGACCGCCAGCUAAGGUCCCAAAGUCAUGGUUAAGUGGGAAACGAUGUGGGAAGGCCCAGACAGCCAGGAUGUUGGCUUAGAAGCAGCCAUCAUUUAAAGAAAGCGUAAUAGCUCACUGGUCGAGUCGGCCUGCGCGGAAGAUGUAACGGGGCUAAACCAUGCACCGAAGCUGCGGCAGCGACACUGUGUGUUGUUGGGUAGGGGAGCGUUCUGUAAGCCUGCGAAGGUGGCCUGUGAGGGUUGCUGGAGGUAUCAGAAGUGCGAAUGCUGACAUAAGUAACGAUAAAGCGGGUGAAAAGCCCGCUCGCCGGAAGACCAAGGGUUCCUGUCCAACGUUAAUCGGGGCAGGGUGAGUCGACCCCUAAGGCGAGGCCGAAAGGCGUAGUCGAUGGGAAACGGGUUAAUAUUCCCGUACUUGGUGUUACUGCGAAGGGGGGACGGAGAAGGCUAUGUUGGCCGGGCGACGGUUGUCCCGGUUUAAGCGUGUAGGUGUGUGUUCCAGGUAAAUCCGGUUCACUUUAACACUGAGGCGUGACGACGAGGCACUACGGUGCUGAAGCAACAAAUGCCCUGCUUCCAGGAAAAGCCUCUAAGCAUCAGGUAACAUCAAAUCGUACCCCAAACCGACACAGGUGGUCAGGUAGAGAAUACCAAGGCGCUUGAGAGAACUCGGGUGAAGGAACUAGGCAAAAUGGUGCCGUAACUUCGGGAGAAGGCACGCUGACACGUAGGUGAAGUGAUUUACUCAUGGAGCUGAAGUCAGUCGAAGAUACCAGCUGGCUGCAACUGUUUAUUAAAAACACAGCACUGUGCAAACACGAAAGUGGACGUAUACGGUGUGACGCCUGCCCGGUGCCGGAAGGUUAAUUGAUGGGGUCAGCGCAAGCGAAGCUCCUGAUCGAAGCCCCGGUAAACGGCGGCCGUAACUAUAACGGUCCUAAGGUAGCGAAAUUCCUUGUCGGGUAAGUUCCGACCUGCACGAAUGGCGUAAUGAUGGCCAGGCUGUCUCCACCCGAGACUCAGUGAAAUUGAACUCGCUGUGAAGAUGCAGUGUACCCGCGGCAAGACGGAAAGACCCCGUGAACCUUUACUAUAGCUUGACACUGAACAUUGAGCCUUGAUGUGUAGGAUAGGUGGGAGGCUUUGAAGUGUGGACGCCAGUCUGCAUGGAGCCGACCUUGAAAUACCACCCUUUAAUGUUUGAUGUUCUAACGUGGACCCGUUACCCGGGUUGCGGACAGUGUCUGGUGGGUAGUUUGACUGGGGCGGUCUCCUCCUAAAGAGUAACGGAGGAGCACGAAGGUUGGCUAAUCCUGGUCGGACAUCAGGAGGUUAGUGCAAUGGCAUAAGCCAGCUUGACUGCGAGCGUGACGGCGCGAGCAGGUGCGAAAGCAGGUCAUAGUGAUCCGGUGGUUCUGAAUGGAAGGGCCAUCGCUCAACGGAUAAAAGGUACUCCGGGGAUAACAGGCUGAUACCGCCCAAGAGUUCAUAUCGACGGCGGUGUUUGGCACCUCGAUGUCGGCUCAUCACAUCCUGGGGCUGAAGUAGGUCCCAAGGGUAUGGCUGUUCGCCAUUUAAAGUGGUACGCGAGCUGGGUUUAGAACGUCGUGAGACAGUUCGGUCCCUAUCUGCCGUGGGCGCUGGAGAACUGAGGGGGGCUGCUCCUAGUACGAGAGGACCGGAGUGGACGCAUCACUGGUGUUCGGGUUGUCAUGCCAAUGGCACUGCCCGGUAGCUAAAUGCGGAAGAGAUAAGUGCUGAAAGCAUCUAAGCACGAAACUUGCCCCGAGAUGAGUUCUCCCUGAGACUUAGAGUCUCCUGAAGGAACGUUGAAGACGACGACGUUGAUAGGCCGGGUGUGUAAGCGCAGCGAUGCGUUGAGCUAACCGGUACUAAUGAACCGUGAGGCUUAACCUUACAACGCCGAAG
Molecule: ribosomal RNA, 2898 nt
Filed under: Salmonella enterica subsp. enterica serovar Enteritidis
Lineage: Bacteria; Pseudomonadati; Pseudomonadota; Gammaproteobacteria; Enterobacterales; Enterobacteriaceae
Description: 23S ribosomal RNA
Rfam family: Bacterial large subunit ribosomal RNA
Source: RNAcentral